UACAAAAUUUCUAUUUUCCUGGUAGGAAGAAAUCACUCAUGAGAUCGAAUGGUGAUGAAGAAGAAGGCGAUGAUACUAGCAGCUCUUGGAAGGGUUUGCACUUUUUUUAAGAAAUCAUAUCAACGGAAUACCAAAAGGGCCGCUUCGAGACUCUAUCAUUGUUUGGACCAUUCAUGCCAACUGACAACCAAGAAACAAAGAAGCUAGUCAGGAUGCAGGAGUGUCUCCUUAACAAGCCCUGAUGGUCAUGUUGGAGGCAGUGGAAUUGCUGGUCUUCUUAUCGCUACCUAUCCUAUGCAGGUAAGGUUAUUUUAAGCAUGUUUUUAUCAUUCAAAUGGGCUUCAUGGUUGCAUGGUGAGAUUAUUUGAAACAGCCUUUGUGGAUUCAUUCCUUGGUUCAUUGCAUUUACCAUGCGAAAGCCUAGCCCAUAUCAGUACUGUGUCAACUAUGGAUAUUCUUCAGUUUCUUGAAUUGUUAUCCUAUUUGGUUCUUGAUUUAAGUUUAUGCAUGUGUUGUAUCUCUCAAUUAUCGAUGUGAAUUUUGAUAUUUUUGAUUUAAGUUAAUGCUUUCAGGGACUAUGGGAAUGCCCAUAUGAAGGAGAUGCUAUAAAAGAAAAUUUCAAGCAGGAUUAGACCCCCACAUGGUAACAAAGUCCACAACAACGAGUCUUUUUGUAUCAAAAAGCUUUAACGAGAGAAGGAGUUCAGAUAUUAUAACUCAUAUAAGCAUCCACUUCCAUGUCACCUUCUUGGAAAUGAAAAUGUUCAUGUACCUCUUGUAUUUUGCAGUGGUUCUGGUUUAAUUUCAUCUAGGAAAGAAGCCAAGAAGGAAAAAAAAUUAGGAUUCUUAUAUUUAUGUAUCUAUCUUUUUGUACAGAUGAAUUUUUAUAGCCAACUUGACAUGUUUUA
This is a long non-coding RNA of Prosopis cineraria, 908 nucleotides long. RefSeq lists it as uncharacterized. The transcript has 2 exons. NCBI's taxonomy places the organism in Eukaryota, Viridiplantae, Streptophyta, Magnoliopsida, Fabales, Fabaceae. The record is from RefSeq and is a predicted model, not a curated record.